Molecule: ribosomal RNA, 253 nt
Filed under: uncultured bacterium
Lineage: Bacteria
Description: partial 16S ribosomal RNA
Rfam family: Bacterial small subunit ribosomal RNA
Source: RNAcentral
UACGUAGGGGGCAAGCGUUGUCCGGAUUCAUUGGGCGUAAAGAGCGUGUAGGCGGCCAGGUAGGUCGGUUGUGAAAACUGGAGGCUCAACCUUCAGAGGUCGACCGAAACCAUCUGGCUAGAGUCCGGGAGAGGAGAGUGGAAUUCCUGGUGUAGCGGUGAAAUGCGCAGAUAUCAGGAGGAACACCGGUGGCGAAGGCGGUUCUCUGGGCAUUACCUGACGCUGAGGAGCGAAAGUGUGGGGAGCGAACAGG